This 3353-nucleotide long non-coding RNA is filed under the name Nicotiana benthamiana. Its description in RNAcentral is "long non-coding RNA (NBEN_LNC034865)". Lineage: Eukaryota; Viridiplantae; Streptophyta; Magnoliopsida; Solanales; Solanaceae. The record is from RNAcentral.
UUUAGCAAACCCAUUAUACUUGAAAAGUUUCAUUUACAUUUCUACUACUUCAGAUAAUCACACGUCCUCUUGGUCGAGAUUGCAACUUUUUCGCUCUUGUCAUUUUUCCUUUUCCUUCUUCUUUGUGCAGUACCUUACUUUCUCCACACCUAUCUCUUUCCAAAAAGUCAUUACUCAAAGAGAGAAUAGUAUUUUAGAGAUUAGCUCAUCAAAAUAAAAGAAACAAUUAGGCAACAGAGUUUCUUCUUUUCGUUUCUUAUCGAUUUGUUAUUGUUCAAUGUCAUUGAUUGAAGUGAAAACUGGACAAACAAAGCAUAAUAGGGGCAUGAAAAAAAAGUAAGUCUCCAUACUGGAUUCAUGAAAUUGGAUUCCUGAUUGUUGAUUAAUUUUUAAAGUUUCUCUGUGGGUGGAUUUGGUUAGUUUUUUCUCUGUUUCUUCAUGAUGAGCAUAUAAAUAUUCAGUCCUAUCUUUUUAGAGACUAUUAACUUACAAUGCUCUAUUUUGGUCUAAAAAUUAUAUCUUUGCUUUAAUUUCUUUAUCAUAGAAAUGUAUGUGAUUUUUGAAAAUUGAUUCCCCCCCACCCCUCCUUCUUGAUGUUUUUCUUGGUGAAUUUUGGUCAUGUAUGUAGUUAUUUGUUAAAUCCUCUAUGAAAGCACACGUAAAUUUCAUCGUAAACAAUUGAAGAAAAUAUUAGUAACAAGAGGGAAGAACUUUGAUGCAGGAAAAAUGUAUGAUAAUUAGCCUGAAUCAACUGUACAAUUUUUUUCAUUCUUUUUGUAAUUUGUUUAUAGCAUAAACUUCUUUCAUUCAACGAAAAAGUAUAUUUUACUCUCACUAGAGAGAAUUAUUGAAUAAUAUUUUAUGCAUUAUAUAUCCUUCUGUUAAUUUACCAUGAGUUGAAAGCUAAUUAAUGACUGGUUCAAAACUACUACUUUUGGCUAGCAUAUAAUUAAACGUGAGUUGACAUUACAAUUUUACCCAUUAAGAGUGAGUUCGCCAUAUGAUUGUGCAAGCAGAUACGGUACACCUUAUAAAAAUUAAAAUAUAUUACCAUAACCAAAAGAGUUCUAUGAAAUACCUAGCAAGUUGUAUUACAAAUAAAGUAUAAUAAAAAAAUAUGAAAAAUAAUACCUAAGAAUAAUCAUUAUGUACACAUAGAAAAAGUAUCUUAGUGAGAGAAUAAGGAAUCAAAAACCAAAAAAUAACAGUCAUGGAAAAAAAAUAGGGAUCUUAGGAUGAAGAAGUAUGCAAUACACGUGUUCAUAAGAGAAGGGCAUAAAAGAGGUCCAAGUUCAUCGAAUGAAAGAGGCUCAAGCUUUUAAGGCACAAUUCAGAUAAUAUUUUAUACAACAUAUUGUAUUAUAGAAAUAAAAUCAUUGAACAAUGCUAAAUUAAAGAGCCAAAGUUUAGGAUAACGUUUACAUUUAUCAAGUUGGGGAAUUAUUAGUGGUUGAGCACAUAUCACAAAUAUUUGAAAAACUAAAAUGCAAAAAAAAUUAGUUGAUGAAAAAAAGGUAGUUUAACCCAUCAGAAAAAUAAUGGUGCAACAACCUCUAUUUACUGUUUUCAUUAUGGAUAGAUCGACUUGUCGAUAGAACAUAAUCAUGGGUAAAAGGGGUUGAUUCAGCGAGAAUAAUUCAGAGAUUUAACCAAAUUUAUUACAGAAAUAAUUUAUUAGAAAUAUUUACCAGUUAUUUUUAUAUAAAUAUUCAAGUCAAAAUUUUGUAAUCUGAAUCAGAAUCUCAUAAGUGUUAUAAUUGAAGUAGACAUUACAUUCGGCAUUAACUUUCACAACCUAAAAAUAUCAUAUUUUUAUUCAUAAAUUCUUCAAAAUAUAUCACAUGCAGGAAUAAAUCAUAAAUUGGUGUACUUCUUUGUUAUACUUGAAAAGUUUCAUUUACAUUGCUACUGAUUCAGAUAAUCACACAUCCUCUUGGUCGAGAUGAGUGUUUCAGAUAUUAGAUGGUCAAAAGAAAAGGAGCAAUUAGGCAGCAGUAUUUUGUUUAUCGAUUUGUUAUUUUUCGAUGUCAUUGGUUGAAGUGAAAAGCAGACAAAUAUGUGCAAGCCUCCGUACAGGAUUUAUGAAAUUGGAUUCCUGAUUCUUAAUUAAUUUUCAAACUUUCUUUUGGGUGGAUUUUGUUAGUUUUUUCUCUGUUUCUUCCUGAUGAGCAUAUGAAUGUUCACUUCUAUCUUUUUAGAGACUAGAUUACAAUGUUCUUUUUGCUUCUAAAAAUUAUAUUUUUGCUUCAAUUUUCUUUUAUAAUAUACAUUUAUAUAAUUUUUGACAUUUAAUCCCCCCCCCCCCCUUCCUUUUUCNNNNNNNNNNNNNNNNNNNNNNNNNNNNNNNNNNNNNNNNNNNNNNNNNNNNNNNNNNNNNNNNNNNNNNNNNNNNNNNNNNNNNNNNNNNNNNNUUUAACCCCCCCCCCCCCUUACUUUUUCAUGUUUUUCUUGGUGAAUUUUUGUCAUCUAUGUAGUUAUAUGUUAAAUUCUCUAUGAAAGCACACGGAAAUAUCAUCACAAACAAUUGAAGAAAAUAGUAGUAACAAAAGGGAAGAACUUUGAUGCAGCAAAAGCGUAUGAUAAUUAGCCUAAAUCAACUAAAACAUUUUUUUCCCAUUCUUUUUGUAGUUGUUUUAUAGCAUAAACAUCUAUCAUUCAAUGGAAAAGUACAUUUUACUUUCACUAGAGAGAAUUAUUGAAUAAUAUUUUAUGCAUUAUAUAUCCUCAUGUUAAUUACCAUGACUUGAAAGUUAAUUAAUGAUUGGGCAAGAUCUUCUGAUAGAGAUUGACCUAGAAAAAGAGUGAGUAAGAGCUUCUUUGUUCUGAAAGAAAUUGAGCGAGAGUGAGCAGGGCAUGAAAAUGGAGAAUAUUUCAUAGUACAUGUGUUUAAGAUGUAAUACACGUGUUCAUAUGAGAAGCUCAUGAAAGAGGCUUAUAAGAAAAAGCAUGAGGUUUUGCUUUGCAAUGAAAAUAAGUAAAAAGUAAAAUGUGGAUGUUGGCUCAGAGCCCGGUAUUGAUAUGUGUCUAUGCCCCUGCCAAUGGGACCUACCUAGUACAUAUACAUUGAAAACAAACUGUGUUUCUUUUCGUUCUUAUUUGUUACCUGGGUAAUCUUUUCUUAUGUGCUAGUUUCUUACCUUGGAAUAGUUAAUACCAUUUGGUGUAAAUUUGACAUAAGCAUUGAAUGAUAGCAUAGAGAUAUUCAUAACACGCUGCGAAAGAUAAUAAUAUUUUUAGGAAGAUUUUUUAUGUUUAAAAUUAAUUAACAUGUGAUAGAUCGUAUUUAAGAUAUGUAGGAAAUCAUUCUAUCCAUGAUAUGUGUGUUUUGGUUGUAUUAGCAUGAUUUCCAGGUA